UUCCACUGAUAAAUCUUUCAUCCAUUGAUACAUAAUAUAUGAAGCAACAAAAACUCCAAAGAAGAAGAAAUUUGAGAGAGAAGUAAAACCCUAGUUUUGCUUUUAAUUACAAAGCCCCAAAUCACCACCACCGCUGCUCGCCGGCCAUUUUUCCGGUGUUGUAUUUGCUUCCGCAAAUUCUGCGUGUUGUGUUGUGUUGCUUCACGGAAUCUCAAAAGAUAACAAAGGGAGCGGCAAUGUCGUCUUCUGCUGUGUCGGUUCGUGAUAACGUGAUCAAUUUGGAAGUUCGUGAAAGAUCAAUCCGUUCAGAAGGUGAAUCUCUCAAUAAGUUGGAUGACGAUACACUUGUUCAAAUUCUUUGUGGUUUGCCCCUCAAAGAUGCGGCAAGAACGAGUGUCCUUUCACGCAGAUGGAGGCACUUAUGGCGCCGUUCACUCAUGUAUCCGUUGAAUAAUAUGUAAAUUUCCAUCAAGAACCAAAUGCAAGUACUAUGACCCGUAAAUGAAUCUUGAGAUGAUGUUUAUAAAACAGAUGUUGGUGAAGAUAAUAGAGAAAGCAGAGGAAGAUAGUAAAGUUACCUUUAGGUGAUUUACAUGAAAAUGUUCAUAGCUAAAAUGUUUUAGAUACUUUUUGUUGUUCUUAGGUAUGCUCCCCACCCCCACCCAAAACCCCCCUUUUUAAGUUAAUGUGACAUUUGGUUUAUGGAAUUGUAUGAAAAAUAAUCAGAAGUGUUCAUCCAACUUCUGAAUUUUUCUUUGCAAAACAUAGAAGGAAAUGCAUGUUUGUCUUCCUACAAA
Solanum lycopersicum (tomato) is the source of this 797-nucleotide long non-coding RNA. RefSeq lists it as uncharacterized. Lineage: Eukaryota; Viridiplantae; Streptophyta; Magnoliopsida; Solanales; Solanaceae. The record is from RefSeq and is a predicted model, not a curated record.